RNAcentral lists this ribosomal RNA (254 nucleotides) under uncultured bacterium. Its description in RNAcentral is "partial 16S ribosomal RNA". It matches the Rfam family "Bacterial small subunit ribosomal RNA", at positions 524 to 777 of the family's 1533-position model. The record is from RNAcentral.
UACGUAGGAGGCAAGCGUUGUCCGGAAUUACUGGGCGUAAAGCGCGUGUAGGUGGUGGGACAAGUCUGCUGUGAAAGCGCCUGGCUUAACCGGGCGAGGUCGGCGGAAACUGUCCGACUAGAGGACGGUAGAGGGGGGUGGAAUUCCCAGUGUAGCGGUGAAAUGCGUAGAUAUUGGGAAGAACACCGGUGGCGAAGGCGGCCAUCUGGACCGCAACUGACGCUGAGGCGCGAAAGCGUGGGGAGCAAACAGGG